RNAcentral lists this ribosomal RNA (206 nucleotides) under uncultured bacterium. Its description in RNAcentral is "partial small subunit ribosomal RNA". It matches the Rfam family "Bacterial small subunit ribosomal RNA", at positions 26 to 219 of the family's 1533-position model. The record is from RNAcentral.
AGAACGAACGCUGGCGGCGGGGUUUAGGCAUGCAAGUCGAGCGAGAAAAGCGCAAGCUGAGUACAGCGGCGUAAGGGUGAGUAAUAGGUAGUCAACGUACCGGGCAGACGCGAAUAAUUUCCCGAAAGGGAUUGUAAUGCGCGAUGAGAUCACGGGCUCUACGGGGCAUGGGAUCAAAGGUCGGGGAUCCUUCGGGACCUGGCGCU